AUUGAAGAUCACGACUUCAAUACCAAGGUGCGCAAUGCCGCCCGUUUUCUCGGUGACGGCAAUAAAGUUAAAAUUACCAUUAUGUUCCGUGGCCGCGAAAUUACGCAUCCGGAGAUUGGCCGUGAGCUUUGCGAGCGGGUCGCUCAAGAUGUUAGUGAAAUCGCUAAAGUGGAAAAGGCAGCUAAAGUUGAAGGCCGAAAUAUGACCAUGAUGCUGGUGCCUCAGGAACAUAACACCGACAAAAAGAACAAGUAAGAGGGGGAAUUUUCAUGCCUAAGAUGAAAACACA
RNAcentral lists this unclassified non-coding RNA (289 nucleotides) under Peptococcus niger. Its description in RNAcentral is "Long range pseudoknot". The record is from RNAcentral. Lineage: Bacteria; Bacillati; Bacillota; Clostridia; Eubacteriales; Peptococcaceae.